This 497-nucleotide ribosomal RNA is filed under the name uncultured bacterium. Its description in RNAcentral is "partial 16S ribosomal RNA". It matches the Rfam family "Bacterial small subunit ribosomal RNA", at positions 28 to 507 of the family's 1533-position model. The record is from RNAcentral.
GAUGAACGCUGGCGGCGUGCCUAAUACAUGCAAGUCGAGCGAACAGAUGAGGAGCUUGCUCCUCUGACGUUAGCGGCGGACGGGUGAGUAACACGUGGAUAACCUACCUAUAAGACUGGGAUAACUUCGGGAAACCGGAGCUAAUACCGGAUAAUAUAUUGAACCGCAUGGUUCAAUAGUGAAGGACGGUUUUGCUGUCACUUAUAGAUGGAUCCGCGCCGCAUUAGCUAGUUGGUAAGGUAACGGCUUACCAAGGCAACGAUGCGUAGCCGACCUGAGAGGGUGAUCGGCCACACUGGAACUGAGACACGGUCCAGACUCCUACGGGAGGCAGCAGUAGGGAAUCUUCCGCAAUGGGCGAAAGCUUGACGGAGCAACGCCGCGUGAGUGAUGAAGGUCUUCGGAUCGUAAAACUCUGUUAUUAGGGAAGAACAAAUGUGUAAGUAACUAUGCACGUCUUGACGGUACCUAAUCAGAAAGCCACGGCUAACUACGUG